This 689-nucleotide ribosomal RNA is filed under the name Mucor inaequisporus. RNAcentral describes it as "partial large subunit ribosomal RNA". It matches the Rfam family "Eukaryotic large subunit ribosomal RNA", at positions 55 to 650 of the family's 3401-position model. Lineage: Eukaryota; Fungi; Mucoromycota; Mucoromycetes; Mucorales; Mucoraceae. The record is from RNAcentral.
GGAAAAGAAAAUAACAAUGAUUUCCCUAGUAACGGCGAGUGAAGAGGAAAGAGCUCAAAGUUGGAACCUGUUUGGCUUAGCUAAACCGGAUUGUAAACUGUAGAAACGUUUUCCUGAUACGCCAGACAAAUAAGUCCUUUGGAACAGGGCAUCAUAGAGGGUGAGAAUCCCGUCUUUGGUCUGAGCUGUUGUCUUUUGCGAUACGUUUUCAAAGAGUCAGGUUGUUUGGGAAUGCAGCCUAAAUUGGGUGGUAAAUCUCACCUAAAGCUAAAUAUUUGCGAGAGACCGAUAGCGAACAAGUACCGUGAGGGAAAGAUGAAAAGAACUUUGAAAAGAGAGUUAAACAGUAUGUGAAAUUGUUAAAAGGGAACCGUUUGGAGCCAGACUGGCUUGAUUGUAAUCAAUCUAGGUUUCGACCUGGAUGCACUUGCGGUCUAUGCCUGCCAACGACAGUUCUUUCUGAAGGAUAAAACUAAGAGGAAUGUGGCCCCUCGGGGUGUUAUAGCCUUUUAGAUAAUACUUUGGAUGGGACUGAGGAACGCAGUGAAUGCUUAUGGCGAGAUUGCUAGGCGCUUUUGUUGAUAUAUGUCAGAAUUUCUGCUUCGGGUGGUGCUGAUGUAUAAAGAUGAAACUCGUUUGGUUAAUUUUCUAUUCACUUAGGUUGUUGGCUUAAUGACUCUAAAUGACCC